RNAcentral lists this unclassified non-coding RNA (333 nucleotides) under soil metagenome. Its description in RNAcentral is "partial contains 5.8S ribosomal RNA, internal transcribed spacer 2, and large subunit ribosomal RNA". The stretch from base 1 to 121 matches the Rfam family "5.8S ribosomal RNA", at positions 35 to 154 of the family's 154-position model. The record is from RNAcentral.
GAUGAAGAACGUAGCGAAAUGCGAUAAGUAAUGCGAAUUGCAGAAUUUCCGUGAGUCAUCGAAUCUUUGAACGCACAUUGCGCCCACUGGUAUUCCGGUGGGCAUGCCUGUUCGAGCGUCAUUUCAACCCUCAAGCACAGCUUGGUGUUGGGACUCGCGUUAAUUCGCGUUCCCCAAAUUGAUUGGCGGUCACGUCGAGCUUCCAUAGCGUAGUAGUAAAACCCUCGUUACUGGUAAUCGUCGCGGCCACGCCGUUAAACCCCAACUUCUGAAUGUUGACCUCGGAUCAGGUAGGAAUACCCGCUGAACUUAAGCAUAUCAAUAAGCGGAGGA